UGGUGGAGUGAUUUGUCUGGUUAGUUCCGUUAACGAACGAGACCUCAGCCUACUAAUUAGUUUGACGAAUGAUUUCAUUGGUUUGAACUUCUUAGAGGGACUACCGGUUUUCAACCGGGGGAAGUAUGAGGCAAUAACA
Molecule: ribosomal RNA, 139 nt
Filed under: uncultured eukaryote
Lineage: Eukaryota
Description: partial 18S ribosomal RNA
Rfam family: Eukaryotic small subunit ribosomal RNA
Source: RNAcentral